UACGUAGGGGGCAAGCGUUGUCCGGAAUCAUUGGGCGUAAAGCGCGUGUAGGCGGUCCGGCAAGUCGGCUGUGAAAGUCCAGGGCUCAACCCUGGGAUGCCGGUCGAUACUGCCGGACUAGAGUUCGGAAGAGGCGAGUGGAAUUCCCGGUGUAGCGGUGAAAUGCGCAGAUAUCGGGAGGAACACCAAUGGCGAAGGCAGCUCGCUGGGACGUUACUGACGCUGAGACGCGAAAGCGUGGGGAGCAAACAGG
Molecule: ribosomal RNA, 253 nt
Filed under: uncultured bacterium
Lineage: Bacteria
Description: partial 16S ribosomal RNA
Rfam family: Bacterial small subunit ribosomal RNA
Source: RNAcentral